Long non-coding RNA from Cyprinus carpio carpio, 2216 nucleotides. The record is from Ensembl. Lineage: Eukaryota; Metazoa; Chordata; Actinopteri; Cypriniformes; Cyprinidae.
GGAAGCGUCUGGCUUGUAUCCGCAGACAUGAUUUCCCAACCUUUCUUAAUUACAUUGUGCAGUACAACGUGAAGAGGUGUCAGAUAGCCAGAGAAGCAGAUCUUUCCUAAUGAAUGAAAACAGAUGGGCUGGACUGCAAGUUGCAGAGACUGCCAAGAGAUUUGGGGAGGCGUAGAAAAAGAGGGAAUACCGAGACAGAACAUAUACAAUAUGAGAAUAAGAAUAAGGACAGAAAUGAAAUGAGCAAGAAAAUAAGAGGACGUAGAGAGAGUGAGAGGAAGUAAAGACGGAGAAUAUGUUCAGUCUCAUGAGAAUAUCCCAACAGAAUAAGGAAGCGAUACCAGAUCCACGAGCCUCUAGGGAUCUUCUGACAGCACUGGGAAAUAUCUCUCUGACCACUGUCUCAUUCCAGCUGUAAUUUGUCAUUCAAGAGCAUUUGAGAGAGACGGCCAUUGUUGCUGUGAUUGAUAGGACGGUCUCAUGCUGAAAUGUGAAAAUAAAGACGAAAAGCUACAAAAACGUCAAACCACCACAUGAGGAUCAAAGAGCCUGUCUGGAUAAAACACCACAGGAGACCGUCAGUGGGUUCUGGGCUGAAAUAUUUGAGCUCCUUAAAUACCAAGUGUGUCAUGAGAGCGGAGAGUGGAAAUGACUGAGCCAUUCUGCCCUUUAAUUAGUUCAACACUGAUCAACUCCACACAGUCUCUAUUCAGCACGACUCUCUCAGACCACUGCAGAACACUGGGAAAUGAGCACAGCACAAGCUUUGAGUGUUUGUGGAGGAGUUUUCAAAAGAAAGGUAUGAACUCUUUGUUUUUUUUUUUGUUUUUUUUUUUCAGAAUUUCACACAUUUUAGCUUUUGUGUGGAGUCUUUGCUGCUGCACUUUGUCCUUCAGUCAAUAUCUGUAAAGGCACAUGCCUUUCAAGGAAUAGUUCACCUAAAAAUUAAAUGUACUCACAUUCAUGCCAUCUAAGAUGUAGAUGAGUUUGUUUAUUCAUCAGAAAAAAUUUGGAGAAAUGUAUUAUUACAUCACUUGCUCACCAAUGGAUCCUCUGCAGUGAAUGGUAAGAAGUCAAAAAAAAAAAAAAAAAAUUUAAAUGAUAAAAGCAUUAGAAUAAUCCACAAGUAAUACAUACGACUCCAGUCCGUCAAUUAACAUCGUAUGACAUAAAAAGCUGCAUGUUUGUAAGAAACAAAUUCAUCAUUUAGCUUUUUAACUUAAACCAUAGCUUCUGGCUUAUGACUCCAUAAUCCAUAAUACAGCUUUGUCCAGUGAAAAAGUACAUGCAAUUUUGUCUUCUUACAUCAAAAUCCACCAAAAUAUUUGUUUAGAACUGUUUUGAAUUGCAUUUGCUUGUAAACGGUGCUUGAUUUGUGCAUAUUUCUCUCCUGAUUUAGACAAGAUGACUUAUGGACGAGACAACAUGUGACAACUUACUCCAAACUGAAAUUUCUAAAAACAAUGCAGGCUUUAUGCGUAAGUUGAUUCUUGCCUGUAUGCAUCUCAGUAUCCUCACAUUUUAUUCAACAGGUAUUAAACAAAAAAUAUAUGAUGGCUGAUGCCCCGAUGCCUUAUCGUUACUGAGAUAUAGUGCUUGUGACAACUAGCCCCAGUCUUAUUCUUAAUCUUAUUCCAUUUUUAUAUGGAAGAAUGAAACGUAAACACAUGUAUCCCUCGGCAAAGCCACAAAACACAAUGUCUCUCAGUGAAGUAACUGAGUAAAACAAUGUACACAAGAGUUUUGCCACAGCGAUGCCUUCAGGAGUGUCUUGUUUGCCCAAAUCCAGCUGUCUUAUCUUCUUCAGAGCAAACACCUUUGCACUAACUUCUCUAAGCUUACAGAGACACAGCUACCCGCUCCGCUCUGAAUGUGACAUGGACUUUGCUGGUCAUCUUCCUCUGCAUCUUGAAGAAUCUGGUGUGACUUACACCUCUGCUUGAAGCUGUGUAUCCCUGUGGCUUCAUCAGUCAAACACUCAUUAGCUGCUCCUGUGGUGACGACACACCAUCAGCCAGAGGAUUUCCCCUCACCUUUUCUGUGUCAGAGCACAAGAACAAGACCCUCUGGAUCAAUACUCCCGCUCAAUGCCGAGAGAACUGAUUACAUUACAUAAUGCCUCACCUCAGAGGAACCCAGACCUGUUUUAGCUACAGCUGCACGGUAUCACAGCGUCAUAUGACUUUAGAUCUGCUUUAUAUGAUUUACUGUUUUAA